RNAcentral lists this small RNA (634 nucleotides) under Pan troglodytes (chimpanzee). Its description in RNAcentral is "processed transcript". The record is from RNAcentral. Lineage: Eukaryota; Metazoa; Chordata; Mammalia; Primates; Hominidae.
ACACUCUAUGAACUUCGGUGUUCCUUACAGUUAGCGGAAACGGAAAGGGAAGGAGGAUUUUCUCCACACAUUUCUCCUUUCACUGCUGUCAAUGACCUGGGACAUCUGCUUGGGAGAGCUGGCUUUAAUACUCUGACUGUGGGAAAAGCUCUGAUUGACAAUGUUUAGUUUGUAUAACACAUCUUAAUUGACACAAGGACACUGAUGAAAUUCAAGUUAACUAUCCUGGAAUGUUUGAAUUGAUGGAAGAUUUACAAGAAAAAAAGUCCAGAAUGUUGACCUAAUUUUACAAAACAAGCUGCAUAUCAGCUGAUGAAUGCAUGAGAAAUUUUCAAGGCUUUCACAGUGGUCUUAAGGUAUGGGUGAGAGUAACUGUGCUUGGAAUAGAAAAGCCCUGCUGCAUCGAGACACAAUGCUGGCAGCUGCGGCAGUGUACAGAGAAAUGUACAGAAAUGAAGAUGGUUCAGUACCUGCUACAUACCAGAUCUAUUACAUGAUAGGAUGGAAAUAUCAUGAGUCACAGGCAAGACCAGCUGAAAGAGGUUCCGCAACUGUGUCAUUUGGAGAGCUAGGAAAAAUAAACAACCUUAUGCCACCGGGGAAAAAAUCACAAUAAAUAUUUAUUCAGUGUUAA